RNAcentral lists this ribosomal RNA (492 nucleotides) under uncultured bacterium. RNAcentral's name for it is "partial 16S ribosomal RNA". It matches the Rfam family "Bacterial small subunit ribosomal RNA", at positions 29 to 507 of the family's 1533-position model. The record is from RNAcentral.
AGUGAACGCUGGCGGUAGGCCUAACACAUGCAAGUCGAACGGCAGCACAGUGAGAGCUUGCUCUUACGGGUGGCGAGUGGCGGACGGGUGAGGAAUACAUCGGAAUCUACUUUUUCGUGGGGGAUAACGUAGGGAAACUUACGCUAAUACCGCAUACGACCUACGGGUGAAAGCAGGGGAUCUUCGGACCUUGCGCGAUUGAAUGAGCCGAUGUCGGAUUAGCUAGUUGGCGGGGUAAAGGCCCACCAAGGCGACGAUCCGUAGCUGGUCUGAGAGGAUGAUCAGCCACACUGGAACUGAGACACGGUCCAGACUCCUACGGGAGGCAGCAGUGGGGAAUAUUGGACAAUGGGCGCAAGCCUGAUCCAGCCAUACCGCGUGGGUGAAGAAGGCCUUCGGGUUGUAAAGCCCUUUUGUUGGGAAAGAAAAGCAGCAGGUUAAUACCCCACUGUUCUGACGGUACCCAAAGAAUAAGCACCGGCUAACUUCGUG